UCCAGUGGGCUGCGAAAAGGCACCAAAAAGUACCCGGACUAUAUCCAAAUUGCUAUGCCCACUGAAUCAAGGAACAAAUUUCCACUAGAGUGGUGGAAAACGGGCAUUGCCUUCAUAUAUGCAGUUUUCAACCUCGUCUUGACAACCGUCAUGAUCACAGUUGUACAUGAGAGGGUCCCUCCCAAGGAGCUUAGCCCUCCACUCCCAGACAAGUUUUUUGAUUACAUUGAUAGGGUGAAAUGGGCAUUUUCUGUAUCAGAAAUAAAUGGGAUUAUAUUAGUUGGAUUAUGGAUCACCCAGUGGCUGUUUCUGAGAUACAAGUGGGAUAGUAACAUCUUUUUGAGGGAAGAAUUGGCUUCCUUUCUUGAAAGUGGUGAAGGUACAGCAUAUAGCUGCAUGGAAGAAACAGUAAUCGGAUGGCUACCUUCUACAUUUUGUAUUAGGAAACAAAGUCCAUUGUAAGAGUCCAUGUUGAUCUUGGAAAUAGAAGGAUUGAAAAAAGCUAAAUUUCCACAAAGAACAAGAACUUGACCAUCUCCUUUUUGAUCUGAAGACUAGGGGACAAUGGAUAUCAUAGAGACAGCAAAACUUGAAGAACAUUUGGAAAAUCAACCCAGUGAUCCUACGAACACUUAUGCAAGACCCGCUGAACCUGUUGAAGAAGAAAACAAAAAUGGCAAUGGUAAACCCAAGAGCUUA
Molecule: small RNA, 699 nt
Filed under: Homo sapiens (human)
Lineage: Eukaryota; Metazoa; Chordata; Mammalia; Primates; Hominidae
Description: circSGMS2_3
Source: RNAcentral